CUUGCUCGGGUAAUGCUAUUUGCAGCGGACAACAUACCCCCUUUGCAGGAGCUUACGUAUGACUAUGGCUACGCUCUUGAUAGUGUCACUGGUGCUGAUGGGAAAAUCAAACAGAUGGCAUGCUACUGUGGUGCAGCGGAUUGUCGGAAGCGCUUGUUCUAGUUGGUCAUGUAAAGUUCUAUUCAUCUAAUGCUGCUCUUUUGGCUAAACAAAUACUGGGCAUUACUGCAAUAACAAUAAGUUGAUCUGUUGUAUAUCUGUUCUCUGAGUAUCUUCUGUUGUAGCCUUUAAGCCCUGGUUCUCCCUUUUUUUGUUGGGUUCAUGUCCUUUGAUUAAACCAGGAGUGCCACACACCAAACAAUACAAGGAUACUCUAGGUCAAAGCAAUGAUGAAAAAAAAAAAAAAAGAAAAAGAAAAGAGGAAAAGAAAAGAAAAAAGAAAGAGGAAACUUUGUGCACUAUUUUUGUGGAAGCUCAUGGAGAG
Molecule: unclassified non-coding RNA, 484 nt
Filed under: Hevea brasiliensis (rubber tree)
Lineage: Eukaryota; Viridiplantae; Streptophyta; Magnoliopsida; Malpighiales; Euphorbiaceae
Source: RNAcentral